Molecule: ribosomal RNA, 165 nt
Filed under: Chryseomicrobium sp.
Lineage: Bacteria; Bacillati; Bacillota; Bacilli; Caryophanales; Caryophanaceae
Description: partial 16S ribosomal RNA
Rfam family: Bacterial small subunit ribosomal RNA
Source: RNAcentral
UGCAGUCGAGCGGAUGACGAAGGAGCUUGCUCCUUCUGAUUCAGCGGCGGACGGGUGAGUAACACGUGGGCAACCUGCCCUGUAGAUUGGGAUAACUCCGGGAAACCGGGGCUAAUACCGAAUAAUCCUUCGGACCUCAUGGUCCGAUGUUGAAAGACGGCUUCU